Podarcis lilfordi (Lilford's wall lizard) is the source of this 73-nucleotide non-coding RNA. Lineage: Eukaryota; Metazoa; Chordata; Lepidosauria; Squamata; Lacertidae. The record is from the annotation of a GenBank genome assembly.
UCCCUAGCUCUGUCGGGAGAGCAUGGGACUCUUAAUCCCAGGGUCUUGGGUUCGAGUUUCACGCUGGGCAGAA